GUAACACGUAGGUAACCUGCCCAUGUGCCCGGGAUAACUUCUGGAAACGGAUGCUAAAACCGGAUAGGUAGCAGACAAGCAUUUGACUGCUAUUAAAGUGGCUAAGGCCAUGAACAUGGAUGGACCUGAGGUGCAUUAGCUAGUUGGUGAGGUAACGGCCCACCAAGGCGACGAUGCAUAGCCGGCCUGAGAGGGCGGACGGCCACAUUGGGACUGAGACACGGCCCAAACUCCUACGGGAGGCAGCAUG
RNAcentral lists this ribosomal RNA (250 nucleotides) under uncultured bacterium. Its description in RNAcentral is "partial 16S ribosomal RNA". It matches the Rfam family "Bacterial small subunit ribosomal RNA", at positions 110 to 353 of the family's 1533-position model. The record is from RNAcentral.